AGCGCGAGCGCGGAGGGAGAGCGCGUGCGUGGGAGCGCGUGCGUGGUGGAGCGCGCGCGCCCCCGCCCCCUCCACAGUCUGGGGGUGGGGAGCGGCUGGAAGAGAGAGUGAAGACCGAACCCUUCCCUGCGCCGAGAGGUCGGGCCCUGACUCUGCAGCUCUGUGAGAGUCAAGAGGAGCAGAGGGAAGGAAGAUUUAGACAAAAGGCCUCAUGGGACCAAGAAGACCCAGACCUCAAUCUGAGCAGCAUCACCAUUCUUUGACCUAGGACACCAGAGGCUGCUACCCCUACUAGCUUGCAGCUGCAUCUGUAGGAAAACAUCUUCAUACCACAUUUACCUGGGCUCAGGAUGGAGAGCAGAGGACACAGCUUUGAAAUGUUAUCUCUGCAAAGUCUGCAUUCAAGGACAUUUUGAAGGAAUUUUAUUUCUUUCCAUUAGAUGUAUUAAUAGACACAUAGCUAUAAAAAUGUAUUCGUGCUGAAAUCCCGAAAGCCUUUAUCAACUAAACAAAUGAUCAUGGAGCGGCAGUGAGGAAGGCACGAGGCUGCAUUCUCUUAUUUGGCCAUUCACUGGUUGCGUGCCCUGGAGCAAAUAACCUACCCUCUCCCUGCUCCAUGGUCUUUGUCUGUAAAAGGUCUCCACUAGAGGCUGCUAAAAUCCCCUCUACCUCUGACCUGCUAUAGGGGGCGCUAUGAAAGGACUGGGCAAGGUUUGUGGAAUUAUUCCCUCCUGUCUCCCUGUCCUAUUAGCUUUUUUUUUUUUAUAAUGUCAAAUUCUUAAUUAGUAGGUUUCAAACAUGAAGAAUAUAAAGCUUGCCUGUACAUUUGGGAAGAAUGAAGUUUUGUCUUUUAGAGCAGAGAGAGGGAGCUAGCUGAGGCUUCUAACUGAAGCAAGUCACACUCCCAGAAAAAUGAAAUGAAAGCCUGAACGAUUGUGAAAAUUGAGGACCCUGUAAGCAAGGAACAAGUACCCUGUUGGUAUUUUUUUAGAUGAUUUUCAUUCCAUUUGCAACACCUUUGUGCUUCCUUUAUGAAUUUCUCCAUCUCUUUCAACUCUACAGUGAGCUAUUUUUAAGACUGUUUUCCUUUCAUACAGGAAUACUGUUCAGAGAAGCAACUUAAUUGUCAUCAUACUUUUUCUUAGUCUUUCAAGACCUUUUGUUAUGGUGAAAUAAUUUUAGGUACACCAAGCACAGAUCCAUUAAAUACAUUCUUUAUUUCACUAAUGAA
Long non-coding RNA from Canis lupus familiaris (dog), 1231 nucleotides. RefSeq lists it as uncharacterized. The record is from RefSeq and is a predicted model, not a curated record. NCBI's taxonomy places the organism in Eukaryota, Metazoa, Chordata, Mammalia, Carnivora, Canidae. The transcript has 2 exons.